AUAAACAAAGUCAUCGACAUAAGUCUACAUCUGGUGAUUUGCAAAAGGUGCCGUAAGAAGCCAUUCUACAUAGUUUUAUUUGCUAAUGAAGGAUUUCUUGUAGGCCUUAUAAAGCAUGAAGGCUUCAUUAAAGGGUGACCGCACUUCCUGAUUAUUUAAAUUUGGUCAGCAAGGGAGAGCCGAAGCCAAAGGAUUUACUCAAAAUCUGUCCGUGUGAGAUGAGCACUUUUUUUGGUGGGAAAAGUUAUCCAAAUAAUUUUGCCAAUUAGCUUCGGCAGGCUGGUGUGCAACCAUGGCAAAGUUGUUGGUUUGACUUUAGAUAGCUCCAUGGCUAGUUAGGCACUAUCAAUAAAUUAUAAUGUAAAUUAGAAAAUAUUUCAUGUUGGAUUCUUUUCAGUUUUCUCAUGAAAUGUUUUUUAUAUUUGUAUAUUAGUUUCUACAAUUUAUAGUUGGUUUGAGGUUUUUAAGUCAUUGGAAUUUGGCGCUAUUAUAAUUUUAACAUCUAAAUUACCUAUGGUCCCGAACCAAUCCCAUCGGGAUAUCCAAAGACAACCCAAAUGUACCACAGGUAUUACGAUUGGGUCGUGUGCAGCUGCACUCCGAAUUGACGAUUACCUGUGUGCUACCAGCUGUGGGCAUGUGGGCAGGAUUGAAACAAAUCCAACCCAGAGAGGAAGAGGUGAAGCCAGAGGCUCAACUCGGCCCAAAAUCGGUCUCCUCCAGCAGGUGCCGUUUUUGCGCCCACCAAACGAGGAGUUUUUGUUUGAAGUUCAAUGAGUGUUGAAUUUGGUAAACAAAAAAUGUGACGUUUUGUAAUGCUUAGGUUGUUACCAGUGUACUGAUUGAUAUAAGUAUGAAAACGUAACGUCCUGGCAACUGAACAAACAACAACUUUAUAUCGGAGUUAGUUGUGCCUGUUGGUCACAAGCGUAUCGGCCCUCUCAUUGACUAGAAUGGUCCCACUUGAUCUCGCCUCCUCCCCGACUGCCUUCCAUCUUCGAGGACUUGUAUUUCCAUUGUUAGAGUGAGCACUUGAUCAGCUGGUCAAUAUAAUAGAUAAUUUGUGGUCAUUCUUAAUUUACGUUGUGGUGCAGUCACAACCACAAGCCUCACAGACGAGACUGACUUUAUGACCAAAAUUGACCUCUUUACAAUUUGUAGUACAUUUUGAUGGUAGAAUACAUGUUUCAGACUCAUAUCGAUGCCACAAGUUCGUUUUUAGAGUUGCUCUUCAAGCCUUAAGUUACACUUCAUUUAAAGUUGAUGAAGUGCUGUCUUUAUUUGGCCUGGUAAUUUCUAAAGAUGUAUGGAG
Molecule: long non-coding RNA, 1312 nt
Organism: Oncorhynchus tshawytscha (Chinook salmon)
Lineage: Eukaryota; Metazoa; Chordata; Actinopteri; Salmoniformes; Salmonidae
Source: Ensembl